GGAAAGUGCCUGCAGCAUAGCAGCUAAUGUAAUGUCUGUUUGAAUUUGGAAAUGUUUAACCUAUCUCAAUACUAGAUGAAGUGUUUUAUAGCAUGUGGUCCACAGGAACGCUUAAAAUGAAUUUCUGCACGCUGGAAUGCUCUUUCAGUGCAUUGAAAGAGGUGAAGGCAGUGAUUAAAGCAAAUUGGAAAGCCCUGGGCACUCCUAUUGCUUCAGCCUCGGGGCUGUGCAGAAGAUGACUUCUCAGCUGCUCAGCAACCAGAGAUUGGAUUCAGCUCAAGAUGAAAUCUGCUCCUACAAGGUCUGGGGACACUAGGACAGCACAUGCCAAAAGCCACAGUGAGGCUAAGCAACUGGUUGCCUCUACAAACUGCCACUGGACACUUCUCUGACAACCCAGGGGCGCACUGAUGUCUGCCCACCCACUCCACCCAUGCCACAGAUUGAGUACGGCAGCAGCAGCAGCAGCAGCCGGCGACAAGCAGCACUUCAGCCACUUGGGCCAUGUUUCAGCCACCUGAGCACCCCUGAGACUUCCUCUGGAGGCACUGGCAGUAGUUCCAUCCUGCUUCCUGUGACUCACAGAAUUGAUGCAAACGUCUGCCAAAUACCACUGACACUUAAUAUACUCAGAUCGUGAAGAAGAAUUUAAUCCUCACAAUAACUCAUCUUUUCACUCUCAGCCUCUGGCUCUCCUAUUUGGGGAAGAGAAAUAUUCAGCAAGGCUGGUCAGAGAGGUUGGCUCAGUAUCCAGUUCCAGUCCCUGAGGUGGGCGCUAAUGGGUCUUUAAGUAUGUAAGUACCUUCUGUUGAAGUGUAUGACUUGCUUAUUUAGUUCAGUGAAUUAUCCUUGG
Molecule: long non-coding RNA, 853 nt
Filed under: Coturnix japonica (Japanese quail)
Lineage: Eukaryota; Metazoa; Chordata; Aves; Galliformes; Phasianidae
Description: lncRNA (ENSCJPG00005018057.1)
Source: RNAcentral